CCAACCACGCUGCCCCUGGAACAUGGCGCCGCCUGCCUCCAGGGCUCCUGGGCGGGGCCUAGAGCCGAGACCGCUGAUUGGUCCGAAACCAAGCUUGCUGAUUGGUUCCCAAAAGGAAAGGGCGGGAAAGGCCUCGGGAAGCAGACAAAGAGACGCUAACUCCCAUACUUGAGAGAAUAGCCACGGAGGGCGAAGUUCGCUGGACCUGGAAAGCAACUUUAGAUCGGGAAUUCCAAGGAGGGGAACUAGGGCCAUUUUAUCAAGAGUACUGUGGAUAUCAAGAACUGUAAACCUAGAAAGAAGGAACAAGCUAGACAUUGAACAAGUUGAAGAGAGAAGGAUGAAAAAUGCUGUUGAUUAAAAAUAUAGACAGGACUGAUGAAGAAGGACAGAGUCAAAAGCAGAUGGGAAUAUGGAUGUAUUUUGAUCUAGGGGAAACAGGCAACUCUCACUAAUAACGCAGGAAAAAAGAACUGAAAAGAGGAAAAAGAGCCAAAGAUUUGCUAGACUAAAAAGUAUGUUGAGUGCAUGCAGGAAGACAUGAUUAUAUGCUAAUUCAGGCCAUUUUCUACUUCAAGUCUCUGGAGAAAAUUUUUACAUUUACAGCAACAUGUUUUGGAAAAGAAAUGAGGUGAAUUUUUCAGAAUUAAAUCCAACACUGAAAAAAGCUAAUUCAACGGGAAGAAGAGUACAGAUGUGAACAUCCAUCCGCUAGACUCAGUAUGCUGGCAGCACAUUCGAGAAGAGUUUCCGAGCAUUACAAAAUCAAGCUGCAGUUUGCUCCAGAAACAAGACAUGAGGAUCAUACUCAGGGAAGCUCCCUGUGUCCUAGAAGACCCCACAGAAGUAGAGUGUUAUUUUGAAAGGCUCCAGCAAAAUCCAUGUAGGGAACUGAAAUUUUGCUUCAGUAGCUAAGGACAAAGAAGAGCAUGAGCAAACCUCAAGGUCCUGCAGUAGAGGAGGUGAGAGCCUGAUCAUCACAGUGAAGAACUAUAUACGACAGACUUCAACCUCAAGCUGGUUCUGGUGGCAUGGGCCUGUAAUUCCAACAUUUAGGAGAUGGAGGCAGGAGGAUCUUGAGUUCCAGACCAACCUGCAUAAAGAGAUCCCAACUCAAAACACAACCUACCAAAUCAGAACACCAAACAGUGUCUUAGAACAAGGAAAUCUAUUUAAAACCUUUAACUGGGCUGGGGAGAUGACUCAGCAGGUAGAGAUGCUUGCCUCCAAGCCUGAUGACCCAAGUUUGAUUCCUGAGAGGAAGGAGUGAACUGAUUCCUGCAAAUUGUCCUCUGACCUCCACACAUGCUAUGGCAUGCACAACGACACAUGUACACAAAAUACACAAAUGUAAUUUUAAAGAUAUUUAACUUCUCUGUUUUAAAAAUAACACACCAAAUGUGAUAGUAUGAAAAAACAUUGUAAUUUUUCAUCCAAAGAUAAUAAAGUUAUUAAU
Long non-coding RNA from Peromyscus eremicus (cactus mouse), 1456 nucleotides. RefSeq lists it as uncharacterized. The record is from RefSeq and is a predicted model, not a curated record. The transcript is spliced from 4 exons. Lineage: Eukaryota; Metazoa; Chordata; Mammalia; Rodentia; Cricetidae.